UUCGUUAUUAGGUUAUUUAUUAUUUUAUCUUAAUUAUUAUUAUGCUAUAUGGUAAUUUGAUGAAUUAUGUGAUUAUAAUUUAAAUCUCAUGUGAUAUAGAAUAAGAUUUAGAUAAAUAAGUUUGUUAGGUUUUUGUGUGAGUAAUUGAGAGUGGGGCCCAUUAGUAUGACUAUUUAAGGGAUAUGAGUGAAUUAGAAAGAGAGAAAUCAGAAUUUGAGAAUUGGAGAAGUUAGCAGAGGAGAAGAAAAGAAGCGUGAAAGAGAGAAGGGGAGAAAAGAGAAGAAAAAACCUAGAAUUUGAUCUUCAAGAGGUACAGGAGGUAGAGAUGUGGCUCAUGAGGAGUAGCUUCGGAGAGUCUUAGCUUAUGUUAUUAUUAUUAUUAUUAUAAAAUAAGUGUCUUGCUCUGUAAUGUAACACUGGUUAGAUAUUUUACGUUACUUUUACAUUUAUGUUGAGAGGAUUUUAUAAUCUCUUCUUAUGGAAGUUGUUGAAUAAUUUUCUAAAUGAUGGCGAUGUCGUACUGUUGACGGCCGAAGUGCUUAUGAAAUUCAGUUCUGAGUAUGAUGAAUUUUAUUGGAAUAUCAUGGAAGAUAAACCUAUUUAAAUAAGUGAUUUUAUGCAUCUUAGGAUUAUCUGACUGGUUUAGAAAUUUCAUUGGCAGGAAUAAUUCAUUCUUUGAAAAGCAUAUGAACUUAUAAAUUUUCAAACACAAUCAGUGUUAAUUUUAAUGAGUUUUCGUGAAGAAGUGUAAUACUCCCUUGAUAUGUUUUUAAACUCUGAUAAACGUUUUUAAAUAAAACAAUGGGAAAAAGGGGGUGUUACAUUAGUGGUAUCAGAGCAUGGUCGGUUAGUAGACUAGGUUUAUCAGCAUGUUUAUUAACAUGUUUAAUUCCUUUUGUAUUCGAUAUGUGUCUAUGACACAAUCGAUAUUGUUUUGGUCAGUAGGAUAGAAGAAGUCCUACCCCGAGUUGUUCAUUUAAGGUAAUUUUCGAGGGCGAAAAUUCUUAAGUGGGGGAGAGUUGUAACACCCCACUUUUCGUUAUUAGGUUAUUUAUUAUUUUAUCUUAAUUAUUAUUAUGCUAUAUGGUAAUUUGAUGAAUUAUGUGAUUAUAAUUUAAAUCUCAUGUGAUAUAGAAUAAGAUUUAGAUAAAUAAGUUUGUUAGGUUUUUGUGUGAGUAAUUGAGAGUGGGGCCCAUUAGUAUGACUAUUUAAGGGAUAUGAGUGAAUUAGAAAGAGAGAAAUCAGAAUUUGAGAAUUGGAGAAGUUAGCAGAGGAGAAGAAAAGAAGCGUGAAAGAGAGAAGGGGAGAAAAGAGAAGAAAAAACCUAGAAUUUGAUCUUCAAGAGGUAAGGGUUUGAAUUUAUCUUGUAUAAUUGUAGAAUAACAGAGGUUGAGUUUAACAUGAAGGAACCCUCAUCUUUUUUGAAAAUUCAGAACUGAGAGACUGUGUUGAGUGUUAACAUGUGGUGAGAAAAAUUGAUUUUGAGCGAAAUUGAGGUUCCGGGGAAAAUUGGGUUCUGUUAUGUUUUGCCCGCAGAUACCCUAACAGUCUGUGUUGUAGAGAGCAUAACUCUCUCUACAGAAUUCCAAAUUGAGUGAAACCAAUUUUGUAUGAAAG
Lotus japonicus is the source of this 1617-nucleotide long non-coding RNA. RefSeq lists it as uncharacterized. The transcript is spliced from 2 exons. The record is from RefSeq and is a predicted model, not a curated record. NCBI's taxonomy places the organism in Eukaryota, Viridiplantae, Streptophyta, Magnoliopsida, Fabales, Fabaceae.